RNAcentral lists this ribosomal RNA (459 nucleotides) under uncultured bacterium. Its description in RNAcentral is "partial 16S ribosomal RNA". It matches the Rfam family "Bacterial small subunit ribosomal RNA", at positions 355 to 806 of the family's 1533-position model. The record is from RNAcentral.
UAGGGAAUCUUCCACAAUGGACGCAAGUCUGAUGGAGCAACGCCGCGUGAGUGAAGAAGGCUUUCGGGUCGUAAAACUCUGUUAUUGAAGAAGAACGUGUGUGACAGUAACUGGUCAUGCAGUGACGGUAUUCAAUCAGAAAGUCACGGCUAACUACGUGCCAGCAGCCGCGGUAAUACGUAGGUGGCAAGCGUUGUCCGGAUUUAUUGGGCGUAAAGCGAGUGCAGGCGGUCUUUUAAGUCUGAUGUGAAAGCCUUCGGCUUAACCGAAGAAGGGCAUCGGAAACUGGGAGACUUGAGUGCAGAAGAGGAGAGUGGAACUCCAUGUGUAGCGGUGAAAUGCGUAGAUAUAUGGAAGAACACCAGUGGCGAAGGCGGCUCUCUGGUCUGUAACUGACGCUGAGGCUCGAAAGCGUGGGUAGCAAACAGGAUUAGAUACCCUGGUAGUCCACGCCGUAAA